Molecule: unclassified non-coding RNA, 333 nt
Filed under: soil metagenome
Description: partial contains 5.8S ribosomal RNA, internal transcribed spacer 2, and large subunit ribosomal RNA
Rfam family: 5.8S ribosomal RNA (bases 1-120)
Source: RNAcentral
GAUGAAGAACGUAGCGAAAUGCGAUAAGUAAUGUGAAUUGCAGAAUUCAGUGAAUCAUCGAAUCUUUGAACGCACAUUGCGCCCGCCAGUAUUCUGGCGGGCAUGCCUGUUCGAGCGUCAUUUCAACCAUCAAGCCCCCGGCUUGUGUUGGGGACCUGCGGCUGCCGCAGGCCCUGAAAACCAGUGGCGGGCUCGCUAGUCACUCCGAGCGUAGUAAUACAUCUCGCUCAGGGCGUGCUGCGGGUUCCGGCCGUUAAAAGCCUUAUUUACCCAAGGUUGACCUCGGAUCAGGUAGGAAGACCCGCUGAACUUAAGCAUAUCAAUAAGGGAGGA